RNAcentral lists this ribosomal RNA (370 nucleotides) under Aerococcus viridans. RNAcentral's name for it is "bacterial SSU rRNA". It matches the Rfam family "Bacterial small subunit ribosomal RNA", at positions 215 to 578 of the family's 1533-position model. Lineage: Bacteria; Bacillati; Bacillota; Bacilli; Lactobacillales; Aerococcaceae. The record is from RNAcentral.
CCGCUUAUAGAUGACCUUGCGGUGCGUUAGUUAGUUGGUGGGGUAAUGGCCUACCAAGACAAUGAUGCAUAGCCGACCUGAGAGGGUGAUCGGCCACAUUGGGACUGAGACACGGCCCAAACUCCUACGGGAGGCAGCCAGGGAAUCUUCCGCAAUGGGCGAAAGCCUGACGGAGCAAUGCCGCGUGAGUGAAGAAAGCCUUCGGGUCAUAAAACUCUGUUAUAAGAGAAGAACAAAUUGUAGAGUACCUGCUACCGUCUUGACGGCAUCUUAUCAGACUGCCACGGCUAAUAACGUGCGAGCAGCCGCGGUAAUACGUAGGUGGCAAGCGUUGUCCGGAUUUAUUGCGCGUAAAGGCGAGCGCAGGUGG